GCGGGUGCUGGAAUUGGUAGACAGGAUAGACUUAGGAUCUAUUGGGGUUACGCCUCGUGAGGGUUCAAGUCCCUCCUAAAAUCCGUA
Molecule: transfer RNA, 87 nt
Filed under: Candidatus Poribacteria bacterium
Lineage: Bacteria; Candidatus Poribacteria
Description: tRNA-Leu
Rfam family: tRNA (bases 5-76)
About the family: Transfer RNA (tRNA) molecules are approximately 80 nucleotides in length. Their secondary structure includes four short double-helical elements and three loops (D, anti-codon, and T loops).
Source: RNAcentral